CGGCGUGCCUAAUACAUGCAAGUUGAAACGCAACAAAGACACCAGAGCUUGCUCUACCGUUUUUGUUGAGUAGCGAACGGGUGAGUAACGCGUGGGUAACCUGCCUUAUAGCGGGGGAUAACUAUUGGAAACGAUAGCUAAUACCGCAUAACAAUAGAGAUUGCAUAAUCUUUAUUUGAAAGUGCCAACUGGUACACUAUGAGAUGGACCCGCGUUGUAUUAGCUAGUUGGUAGUGUAAUGGACUACCAAGGCGAUGAUACAUAGCCGACCUGAGAGGGUGAUCGGCCACAUUGGGACUGAGACACGGCCCAAACUCCUACGGGAGGCAGCAGUAGGGAAUCUUCGGCAAUGGACGAAAGUCUGACCGAGCAACGCCGCGUGAGUGAAGAAGGUUUUCGGAUCGUAAAACUCUGUUGUUAGAGAAGAAUGUUGAUUAGAGUGGAAAAUUAAUCAAGUGACGGUAUCUAACCAGAAAGGGACGGCUAACUACGUG
RNAcentral lists this ribosomal RNA (494 nucleotides) under uncultured bacterium. RNAcentral's name for it is "bacterial SSU rRNA". It matches the Rfam family "Bacterial small subunit ribosomal RNA", at positions 40 to 507 of the family's 1533-position model. The record is from RNAcentral.